Long non-coding RNA from Manis javanica (Malayan pangolin), 357 nucleotides. RefSeq lists it as uncharacterized. The record is from RefSeq and is a predicted model, not a curated record. Lineage: Eukaryota; Metazoa; Chordata; Mammalia; Pholidota; Manidae.
CUCCUCCCAACGAGGCGGACACUUGAAACGGGGGACGAGCAUGGGCGGCGACGUCUACGCGCCCAUUAAGAAACGGGGGAGGUGGCAGGAGAGAAGAGCAUGCGUGGCUAGGCUGCCCGCGCGUACAUCACCCCUUAGGACCCUGCUCCUCCCCACAAAGAGGCGGACACAGUGUCAUGCUACCAUGAGGAAAGCCAGCCUAAAGGUGAGACUGGCCCAGAGGACAGAGGCAAGACAUGAGCAGAGUGCAGGAGCCGAACUGUGAUCGCACGGAAACUGAGGCCUGCCUGCCUGUGAUACUUCUAAGUUGCUUCUGUGUCUUGGCUAUCGUGCAUAAUGCUGCAAUGAACAUGGCAG